Molecule: long non-coding RNA, 2199 nt
Filed under: Homo sapiens (human)
Lineage: Eukaryota; Metazoa; Chordata; Mammalia; Primates; Hominidae
Description: non-protein coding lnc-ADAM29-2:1
Source: RNAcentral
CAAGACCACAGCCCCCCAGAAGUGGUGAUAACCCUGAGGGUAACUUGCACUGGUAGUGGUAUGAAUCUUCUAAGCUGGCUCUCCUGUAGCUUGUAAUUUGGGAAAAAGAGACAUAUUGUCCACAUCAGAAGCUUUUGAUUUCCAAACACCUCCCAGUGUUCACCUACAAAGACCAACAUGCUCUCCUGGAAGAUCACCCUAUUGUCUGGAAUGACUGCUGCUAUCAUAGUUUUGUGGAAAGGGAUCCAGAAUCCCUGGUUGCUAUUAGCAACUGUUUUGGGGGUUUUCAAGGAACGCUACAGAUAAAUUACAUUGAUUAUGAAAUGACACCCAAAAGGCCUUCUGCCACAUCUGAGCAUCUGGUAUAAAAAGCUGGGUAGUCAGGAGACAAAAUUCCCAACCAUGAAACGUGGAUUAACAGAAGAUAUAGUAAGAGAAUUAAAGUUUCAAGAAUGUGAUAAUUCCACUCUGAUGCAAAGUGGCUAUGAGGGCUGGAGGGAGAACCCACGCAUUUUUUCUUGAACUGGCAAUAGUGGUAGACUAUUCAUUAUUUGGAAAGUAAUACCUCCCUUGGGCAGGAGGAAAUAAUAGUUGUUGCCAACAAAUUAAAUGUUGUUUAAUAGUGCCAUAGGACUUAAUGUGAUUUUAACUGUACUUGAGAUCUGGAAUGAAGAAAACCAAGUUACAGCAGGUGACCUAUGUGUUCUUAUAUAACUUUGGCAAAUGGAAAUAAAUAGCUAUAAUUUCUACAUAUCUGAUGAUGGUGUAGAACUUGCAGUAAAGGAUAAAUAUGGUAGAUUAUUAUCCUAUACCAUUAUUGGUUCAACCUGUAAUAUUGGUUUUAAUUAUAGAGUUAUACAGUUCCAAGGUACUGAAUUUAUAUCAUUUGCAUUGCUGUUGGUACACGAGUUAGGUCAUAGGUUUGGUAUGCAGAAUGAUGGUAAAGAUUGUUCUUGUGGUCAUGAAACAUGCACGAUGUCUUCAAGAAUAUAAAGGGCAACAAGGUGAAACAUCGUCUCCACAAAAAAUAAAAAAUUAUCCAGAUGUGGUGGUCCCAGCAACUCAGGAGGCUGAGAUGGGCAGAUCCAUUGAGCCACUGAGCCAGGAAAAUUGAGGCUGGCAAUGAGCUGUGAUUGUGCCACUGUAUUCCAGCCUGAGACAGAGUGAGAGCCUGUCUUAAAAAAAAAAUAUAUAUAUAUAUCAAAGACAAGUCAUCUAUUCAGACACAGAAAUUAUUCUAUAUUGGUCAGCCUUUUAUCUAAGCACUAUUUGUAUACUGAAAUCCAGAGAACAUCAUUGCAGAGAAGUGCUGUGGCAAUGGUGUGGUUGAAGAAGGAGAGAAGUGUGACUGUGGAUCCUUACGAUUGUGUGCAAAAUAUCCAUGUUGUUUGGCAAACUACACUCUGAAAUCUGGGGCUGCUUGUGCUUUUGGGCUUUGAUGCAAAGCCUGCUAAUUCAUGCUGUCAGGCAAUAUGUGCAGAGAAGAGAACAAUGAAUGCGUUAUCUCAUAGUGUUUCAAUAGAAAUUCACAUAUUGUCCAGCAGAUAUGAAUGUGCACAACAGGAUCCAUUGCAUGGGCAGUGUCUAUUGCUAUGAAAAGGGAUGUAUUAACUACGAACAGUGUAGGCAAAUUUUUGGCAAAGAAGCAAACAGUGCAAAUCAGAGUUGCUACAGAGAAAUUAAUACCUGUGGUUACCAUUUUGGUCACUGUGGUAUCUGAGGCUGGACAUGUAAGAUAUAAUAUCUCAGAUAUCUUUUGUGGGAGAGUUCAAUGUGAGAAUGUGAAAGAAAUUACCCAUUUGAGAGAUCACACUACUGAGCACUGAACUCACAUCAGUGGUGUUACCAGCUACAGUACUGACUUUCAUUUGGGGAUGACAAUAACUGAUAUUGGUGUAGUGAAAAAUAGCACAGAGUAUGGUCCAAAACAAGCGUACAUUGACAGGAAGUGUGUUCAUUAUCAUUUUGGAAAAGUACUUCUUCUUCUAAGACCCGCAAUAUGAGAGGAAUCUGCAACCAUAAACAUUAGUGCCACUGCAACCAAAGGUGGAAAAUACUUAUUGCCUGAUACAGGGCACUGGAGGUAGUGUUGAUAGUGACCUAUACCCUGCCCACCCCAAAAAGAUGAAAGAGUUGUUCAAAAGGAUUUUCUUGAUAGUAAUUUUUUAAUUCCUUUUUCUCUUUUGUUUUACUGUUUGU